Molecule: ribosomal RNA, 460 nt
Filed under: uncultured bacterium
Lineage: Bacteria
Description: partial 16S ribosomal RNA
Rfam family: Bacterial small subunit ribosomal RNA
Source: RNAcentral
CCUACGGUGGACAGCAGUGAGGAAUAUUGGUCAAUGGACGAGAGUCUGAACCAGCCAAGUAGCGUGAAGGAUGACUGCCCUAUGGGUUGUAAACUUCUUUUAUAAAGGAAUAAAACGAGGCACGUGUGCCUUUUUGCAUGUACUUUAUGAAUAAGGAUCGGCUAACUCCGUGCCAGCAGCCGCGGUAAUACGGAGGAUCCGAGCGUUAUCCGGAUUUAUUGGGUUUAAAGGGAGCGUAGAUGGGUUGUUAAGUCAGUUGUGAAAGUUUGCGGCUCAACCGUAAAAUUGCAAUUGAUACUGGCAGUCUUGAGUACAGUUGAGGUAGGCGGAAUUCGUGGUGUAGCGGUGAAAUGCUUAGAUAUCACGAAGAACUCCGAUUGCGAAGGCAGCUUACUAAACUGCCACUGACAUUGAUGCUCGAAAGUGUGGGUAUCAAACAGGAUUAGAUACCCCGGUAGUC